Molecule: ribosomal RNA, 252 nt
Filed under: uncultured bacterium
Lineage: Bacteria
Also listed under: 2 other names
Description: partial 16S ribosomal RNA
Rfam family: Bacterial small subunit ribosomal RNA
Source: RNAcentral
UACGUAGGUGGCGAGCGUUGUCCGGAAUUAUUGGGCGUAAAGGGAGCGCAGGCGGACAUAUAAGUCCAUCUUAAAAGUGCGGGGCUCAACCCCGUGAGGGGAUGGAAACUGUAUGCCUUGAGUGCAGGAGAGGAAAGCGGAAUUCCCAGUGUAGCGGUGAAAUGCGUAGAUAUUGGGAGGAACACCAGUGGCGAAGGCGGCUUUCUGGACUGUAACUGACGCUGAGGCUCGAAAGCCAGGGGAGCGAACGGG